Molecule: ribosomal RNA, 1389 nt
Filed under: uncultured bacterium
Lineage: Bacteria
Description: bacterial SSU rRNA
Rfam family: Bacterial small subunit ribosomal RNA
Source: RNAcentral
GACGAACGCUGGCGGCGUGCUUAACACAUGCAAGUCGAACGGUGAAGCGCCUUCCUUUUUGGUGGGUGUGGAUGAGUGGCGAACGGGUGAGUAACACGUGAGUAACCUGCCCCCUUCUUCUGGAUAACCGCAUGAAAGUGUGGCUAAUACGGGAUAUUCUGUGCCUGCUGCAUGGUGGGUGUGGGAAAGAUUGCGCUUUUUUGGUGUUUUUGGUGGGGGAUGGGCUCGCGGCCUAUCAGCUUGUUGGUGGGGUGAUGGCCUACCAAGGCGGUGACGGGUAGCCGGCCUGAGAGGGUGGACGGUCACACUGGGACUGAGACACGGCCCAGACUCCUACGGGAGGCAGCAGUGGGGAAUAUUGCACAAUGGGCGCAAGCCUGAUGCAGCGACGCCGCGUGAGGGAUGGAGGCCUUCGGGUUGUGAACCUCUUUCGCCAGUGAAGCAGGCCUGCUCCUUUUUUGUGGGUGGGUUGACGGUAGCUGGAUAAGAAGCGCCGGCUAACUACGUGCCAGCAGCCGCGGUAAUACGUAGGGCGCGAGCGUUGUCCGGAAUUAUUGGGCGUAAAGAGCUCGUAGGCGGCUGGUCGCGUCUGUCGUGAAAUCCUCUGGCUUAACUGGGGGCUUGCGGUGGGUACGGGCCGGCUUGAGUGCGGUAGGGGAGACUGGAACUCCUGGUGUAGCGGUGGAAUGCGCAGAUAUCAGGAAGAACACCGGUGGCGAAGGCGGGUCUCUGGGCCGUUACUGACGCUGAGGAGCGAAAGCGUGGGGAGCGAACAGGAUUAGAUACCCUGGUAGUCCACGCCGUAAACGUUGGGCACUAGGUGUGGGGGGCCUUUUCCGGGUUUUCCGCGCCGUAGCUAACGCAUUAAGUGCCCCGCCUGGGGAGUACGGCCGCAAGGCUAAAACUCAAAGGAAUUGACGGGGGCCCGCACAAGCGGCGGAGCAUGCGGAUUAAUUCGAUGCAACGCGAAGAACCUUACCAAGGCUUGACAUGUGCCGGUCGGCUCCGGAGACGGGGUUUCCUCCUUGUGGGGCCGGUUCACAGGUGGUGCAUGGUUGUCGUCAGCUCGUGUCGUGAGAUGUUGGGUUAAGUCCCGCAACGAGCGCAACCCUUGUCUCGUGUUGCCAGCACGUUGUGGUGGGGACUCGCGGGAGACUGCCGGGGUCAACUCGGAGGAAGGUGGGGAUGACGUCAAAUCAUCAUGCCCCUUAUGUCUUGGGCUUCACGCAUGCUACAAUGGCCGGUACAGAGGGCUGCGAUACCGUGAGGUGGAGCGAAUCCCUUAAAGCCGGUCUCAGUUCGGAUCGGUGUCUGCAACUCGACACCGUGAAGUUGGAGUCGCUAGUAAUCGCAGAUCAGCAACGCUGCGGUGAAUACGUUCUCGGGCCU